CUUUCUCCGCCGGCGACCGGCGCAACGGGUGAGUAACACGUAUGCAACCUGCCCCUGUCAGGGGGACAACCCGCCGAAAGGCGGGCUAAACCCGCGUACAUGCCACCGGGGCAUCCCGGAGGCAGGAAAGGCUUCGGCCGGACAGGGAUGGGCAUGCGGCGCAUUAGGCAGUAGGCGGGGUAACGGCCCACCUAACCGACGAUGCGUAGGGGUUCUGAGAGGAAGGUCCCCCACACUGGUACUGAGACACGGACCAGACUCCUACGGGAGGCAGCAG
RNAcentral lists this ribosomal RNA (277 nucleotides) under uncultured bacterium. RNAcentral describes it as "partial 16S ribosomal RNA". It matches the Rfam family "Bacterial small subunit ribosomal RNA", at positions 79 to 354 of the family's 1533-position model. The record is from RNAcentral.